This 466-nucleotide ribosomal RNA is filed under the name uncultured bacterium. Its description in RNAcentral is "bacterial SSU rRNA". It matches the Rfam family "Bacterial small subunit ribosomal RNA", at positions 355 to 825 of the family's 1533-position model. The record is from RNAcentral.
UCGGGAAUUUUGGGCAAUGGGCGAAAGCCUGACCCAGCAACGCCGCGUGCAGGAAGAAGGCGUUAUGCGUUGUAAACUGCUUUUGCCAGGGGAUAAAAAGACCGUGCGCGGUUAAUUGAAGGUACCUGGUGAAUAAGCCACGGCUAACUACGUGCCAGCAGCCGCGGUAAUACGUAGGUGGCAAGCGUUGUCCGGAUUUAUUGGGUUUAAAGGGUGCGUAGGUGGCCCUGUAAGUCAGUGGUGAAAUAUCUCAGCUUAACUGAGAGGGUGCCAUUGAUACUGCAGGGCUUGAGUACAGAUGAGGUAGGCGGAAUUGACGGUGUAGCGGUGAAAUGCAUAGAUAUCGUCAAGAACACCGAUAGCGAAGGCAGCUUACCAAGCUGUAACUGACACUGAGGCACGAAAGUGUGGGGAUCAAACAGGAUUAGAUACCCACGUAGUCCCUGAGCGGGCUGGCAAGGCGCAU